GUCCGUUCUUAACCUGAAACUGUUCUUAACCUGAAGCACCACUUUAGCUAAUGGGGCCUCCUGCUGCCGCUGCGCCACCGAAGCACGAUUUCUGUUCUCAUCCUGAAGCCAAGUUCUUAACCUGAAGCACUAUUUCUGGGUUAGCGGAGUCUGUAACCUGAAGCGUAUGUAACCCAAGGUACCACUGUAUAUAAAACAUAAAACACUAAACAUGAGAAGACUUCACUAUACAUGCCUUCAGAUGUCUUUGAAAGGUUGUCUAGUUAUCUCCUUGACUCGAGGAUCGCAUGACUCCAUACCCUCCAAUAUUUGAUGAAAAUAGGGGUGUCAUGAGGAAAAGCGGGACAUUCCACGAUUAAAUCAGAAUCCAGGAAGGCUUCUGUAAAUCCAGAACGGUCCCUGGAAAAUAGGGACACUUGGAGGGUCUGGGCUCUAGAAGCACUGAAGUGGGUCACCCCACAAGCGUAGCUCAAGUUUGUUUUAGCCCCGGGAUUGCUAAUGAUCAGUAUUAAGAUGAAAGGUCUGCCUUGCAUGUUGCUUUAUGGAAGUGAGUCGGGGGCAUGUUGAUCUCCCUGAAGUGAUGCCUCAACAUCUUCAAUACGUGCAAAGUCAAGGAGAUUUGGAGCAUCACAUGGCAGUACAGUUGGGGGGAAAAGAUGUGCUCUCCCAAGCCCACAUUCCCAGAAUGUUCACACUUGUUGCAGCGAUGUCUACACUGGCUCGGUCACGUCCACAGGCACUCUCAUACUCUGUGGCCAUCCUACAGCUACAGGAUCCAGCCUUCUAGCCAGCAUGCUCAAUGGUGACAUGCAUACAGGAAACCUGACCACAGAAACACCAUGCUCAAGAACAGGAAUGAAUUCUCAGGAAUUGAGUAAGCAAUGUGGGAGGGAUUAACAAGUUGUUCUCAACCUUUUCAGGCCAACACAUUUUGGAAAAUUUAUGACGUGUCAUGGACAUGAAAAACCUGGCAAAUGCUCAUAAUCACUCAUCUCCAAAAAGUCAAAAUAUCAAUGCCUCUGUAACCACCUUUUUGUGUUUAAAGCAAGCUGCUUUGGGGUGGGGCAGAGGUCAUUGGCAAGCAGCAGCUGGGGUGUUUAAGUGCACAGUAGUGCUUGUGGACUCCAGGAUUGAGUAGAAAGUAUCUUGUAUUUCACUUUAAUAGGCAGGGUUGAUAUGCGACGUUGUGCGUAUCAAUAUAUUGUCAAAAUCACAAGCUGCAUUUAAAUCUCAAACCGCUAACAAGAUUCCUUUGCUCAUUUGAGAUUCCUUUGCUUACUCCAGGACAGGAAAUCUGUGGUCCUCCAGGUGUGUCUAUUCCAGUUCCCAUCAGCCAACAUAAGUGACGAGUCGUAAAACAUGUUAUGUAUGAAGGUUCCCCAUUCCUGGUUUUCAUAGUAAGGCUGAAAUCAAUGCUAUUUUGUGUGGUAAUAAAUCCUCAUCGAUAAAAUGUAGUCAGGAAUUGAGGCUUCCCACAGGC
Podarcis lilfordi (Lilford's wall lizard) is the source of this 1480-nucleotide non-coding RNA. NCBI's taxonomy places the organism in Eukaryota, Metazoa, Chordata, Lepidosauria, Squamata, Lacertidae. The record is from the annotation of a GenBank genome assembly.